CCAAGCAGCCUCUUUCUCCAGGAGAACUGAUCCCUGUUGUCUAGACAACUGCUGCAAUUCUGGGAGAUCACCAGGCCCCACCUGGAGGAUGGCAACCUAUAGGAUAGGACUAAUUUCAUGGAUGGAUCUGCAGACAACACAUCCCUAGAACCAGAGACCAAGAAAACCAGGAAGAUACUAAACAAUACAUUGGAGAGACACCAAGAAACAGCACUCAAAUUAGGAUCUGCUCCAAAUUCUUCCCAUUUGUAGAAGAAAGACCGCCCCAUCCCCUAAGGGCUCUAUUUCUGUUGUUCCUGGAGAAUACUGUCACCCAGACCAAUCUGGCCACUGUGAUCCAUGCUACGAUCAUCUCCAGGCUAGAAAAUUGUAACUUGCUCUAUAUGGAGAUUGAAGAUCCAGUAUGCAGCAGCGCGGCUUCUCACAGGUAGCUCUAUACGGGACCAUAUCUUUCCUAUGCUGUGCUGGCUGCACUGGCUCCCAAUGGAGAUUCAGAUCACCUUCAGUGUAUUCAUGUUAACCUUCAAGUCAUUCUGUGGUCUGGGGCCCUCAUACCUUAGGGACCUUCUUUCCCCCUAUGUCCCUACCCAGCCUCUGCACUCUGCAGAGGCCAAUUUACUGGUGCUCCCUGGCCCCUCUAUGAUAAGGUUGGCCUCCACCUGGACCAGGGCCUUCAGUGCCCUGACCCUUGCCUGGUGGAAUUCAUUACCAUCCUUCAUUAGGGCCCUGAAGGACCUUGAGAAGUUCCACAGGGUCUGAAAAAUGACAUUGUUCCACCAGGCUUUUGGGGUGUGUGUGUGUGGGGGGGGAUAGCCAUUGAAAGGAUGCCACCCCUGUCUUUCAAUUAACAGUCUGGUAUGUCACCUGACCAGCCCUAAUGACGCAAAAAGCGAUAUCAUCGCCAUCAGAUUACUGUAUGUCAAUUUGGUAACUUGGAAUCUUGAUAUUAUG
Sphaerodactylus townsendi is the source of this 951-nucleotide long non-coding RNA. RefSeq lists it as uncharacterized. The record is from RefSeq and is a predicted model, not a curated record. The transcript is spliced from 3 exons. NCBI's taxonomy places the organism in Eukaryota, Metazoa, Chordata, Lepidosauria, Squamata, Sphaerodactylidae.